This 94-nucleotide ribosomal RNA is filed under the name Escherichia coli. Its description in RNAcentral is "partial 16S ribosomal RNA". It matches the Rfam family "Bacterial small subunit ribosomal RNA", at positions 1 to 90 of the family's 1533-position model. Lineage: Bacteria; Pseudomonadati; Pseudomonadota; Gammaproteobacteria; Enterobacterales; Enterobacteriaceae. RNAcentral also lists the same sequence under 62 other names. The record is from RNAcentral.
AAAUUGAAGAGUUUGAUCAUGGCUCAGAUUGAACGCUGGCGGCAGGCCUAACACAUGCAAGUCGAACGGUAACAGGAAGCAGCUUGCUGCUUCG